Molecule: non-coding RNA, 207 nt
Organism: Paramuricea clavata
Lineage: Eukaryota; Metazoa; Cnidaria; Anthozoa; Malacalcyonacea; Plexauridae
Source: the annotation of a GenBank genome assembly
ACUCGCGCGUACAACGCGUAACCAAUUUCAGUGCGCACGCGUGGGAUCUCUCAAGCUCGCAGCCAGUAAAGCCAGUCAGUGCAAUAGGGAUUUGUAUUACGAAAUGUACAUUUUGAUCACAAAAUCGACUAUUUUUCGGAAACAAAGGAUUGGAAUAUCAAACUACUACAACUGCCUGCAGAGGCAAUGUAAGCCUAAAUUAUUGUU